UGUGUCUCGUCUCACUACUAU
This 21-nucleotide non-coding RNA is filed under the name Arabidopsis thaliana (thale cress). Lineage: Eukaryota; Viridiplantae; Streptophyta; Magnoliopsida; Brassicales; Brassicaceae. The record is from RNAcentral.